Molecule: long non-coding RNA, 769 nt
Filed under: Mytilus galloprovincialis (Mediterranean mussel)
Lineage: Eukaryota; Metazoa; Mollusca; Bivalvia; Mytilida; Mytilidae
Source: RNAcentral
UUGAAUUUUAGUUUAGUUUAGUUUAGUUUAUUAGAGAAAACUCAGCCGCAGAAGACUGCGUAACAGGAGCAUAUUUAUAUACACAAUAUUAAUUACAACAUAGUUCAUAAUACAAACAGAAUACAUUUUUAAAUUAUACAUCUUCAGAAAUAAGUUUGUGUUUAUUACAGUUUUAAAUUAGACAAGCAUCUUUUCUACCUUUUGAAUAAAAAUUGACAGCUUAGACAGCACGUUACUAUUACUAUAUUUAAGCAUGCCAAGUACUUUUUUUUCAUUUGGAUAUUUUAAAUAAUAUGGAGGUAUGAACUUCCCCCUUAAAUCCUUAACUUCACAGUUGGUACAUUUACAUAUAUAGUGGUAUACAUCUCCAAGACCAGCUUUACAGAGUGGACAAAUCCUAUCAUUUCGUGGUACAUUUCUCCAUCUUCCUGUUUCGAUGGGAAACUUUGUAUUACAUACCCUUAAUUUACAUAUGUUUACUCUAUGCCCCCGUCUUAAUUUUAACAGAUAUGUUUCCAAGCAAAACUCUUCUUUAAAGUGUAGAUAAAACUCCCCCCUUGAUGAAUUGUUUAUAUCUGAGAACCAUUUUUGAAUAAACUGGUCCUGGAGACGCUGCCUUACAUUAAUUUUAAUAUAAUUAUAAUCAACUUGCUCCGGAAAAUUAUAUAGUUCACAAAAGCCACAAUCAUUGAACACAGAUUUUACAUAGUUAAACCACUUAAAAUUACUACCUUCAUGCUCAUGCAUGUACCAAAGUAACUUAUAAAGU